CCUACGGGAGGCAGCAGUGAGGAAUAUUGGUCAAUGGGCGCUAGCCUGAACCAGCCAAGUAGCGUGAAGGAUGACUGCCCUAUGGGUUGUAAACUUCUUUUAUAUGGGAAUAAAGUGCAGUAUGUAUACUGCUUUGCAUGUACCUUAUGAAUAAGGAUCGGCUAACUCCGUGCCAGCAGCCGCGGUAAUACGGAGGAUUCGAGCGUUAUCCGGAUUUAUUGGGUUUAAAGGGAGCGUAGGCGGGUUGUUAAGUCAGUUGUGAAAGUUUGCGGCUCAACCGUAAAAUUGCAGUUGAUACUGGCAGCCUUGAGUACAGUAGAGGUAGGCGGAAUUCGUGGUGUAGCGGUGAAAUGCUUAGAUAUCACGAAGAACUCCGAUGGCGAAGGCAGCCUGCUGGACUGUAACUGACGCUGAUGCUCGAAAGUGUGGGUAUCAAACAGGAUUAGAUACCCCGGUAGUC
This 460-nucleotide ribosomal RNA is filed under the name uncultured bacterium. Its description in RNAcentral is "partial 16S ribosomal RNA". It matches the Rfam family "Bacterial small subunit ribosomal RNA", at positions 338 to 795 of the family's 1533-position model. The record is from RNAcentral.